UAUUUAUAUAUUUUUAUUGAGUGUUAUAAAUUUAUAAUUAAUAAAGUAACCAAAUAAAUUAUAUUUUCAUAAGGAAGCUUGGCUCUGACUUAAUAAUAUAGUAUAAACUAAGAAGUACACAUGGUUUUUUUUGAAUGAGAUGAGGAGAAAAUAAAUUAAUUAUUAUGUAAAAUACAAAUAAUUUUUAUUUUUCUAAGUAUUAUAAUUUUACAUGAUGCUUUGAAAAGUCCCAUUAACACCAGUGUCUGUGUUUAGAUUAAAAGUGAAAACUUGAACUAGUUUAGUUUAAUAAAUCUGGUUAAAUUAGUGCCAGCAUCCGCGGUUAUACUAAUAGAUUAAAUUAUAUAAAUUGGUCAAAAGGUAGUUAAUGUAUUAUAUUUUAAAGUUUUUAAAAGAUUUAUAUAAAGGUAAAAUUUGAAAAUAAAUUCUAAUACUAUUUAAAUACUUAUAUACUGAAUCUACGAAAAUUUUAAGGGAAACUGGGAUUAGAUACCCCGUUAUUUUCAAAAGUAAAUAUAUUAAUGUAUACCAGAGUACUACGAAUAAAAAUUUUAAAACUCAAAGAGCUUGGCGGUGUUUUAUACCUCUUAGGGGAACCUGUCUCAUAAUCGAUAGUCCACGAUAGACCUAACCUUAUUUUGUAUACAGUUUGUAUACCGUCGUCGUCAGGUAACUUUUAAAAAUGUAGAAGUUAGCUAAAAAAUAAAAUAAAUUUACACGUCAGAUCAAGGUGCAACUAAUAAUAAGGUGAAGAUGGGUUACAAUUAAAAAUUAUAAUUACGGAUAAAUAAUGAAAAUAUAUAUGAAGGAGGACUUAAAAGUAAGAUAAUUGUAUAAAAAUUAUUUGAAUAUGGCUCUGAAACGUGCACACAUCGCCCGUCACUCUGGUUGAAAAAUGAGAUAAGUCGUAACAUAGUAGGAGUAAUGGAAAUUGUUCCUGAAUUAAAAUUUAAAUAUUAAUAAAUU
This 966-nucleotide ribosomal RNA is filed under the name Ficus variegata (in: gastropods). RNAcentral describes it as "Ficus variegata Roding, 1798 12S ribosomal RNA". The stretch from base 237 to 948 matches the Rfam family "Microsporidia small subunit ribosomal RNA". Lineage: Eukaryota; Metazoa; Mollusca; Gastropoda; Littorinimorpha; Ficidae. The record is from RNAcentral.